This 439-nucleotide ribosomal RNA is filed under the name uncultured bacterium. RNAcentral describes it as "bacterial SSU rRNA". It matches the Rfam family "Bacterial small subunit ribosomal RNA", at positions 29 to 472 of the family's 1533-position model. The record is from RNAcentral.
AUUGAACGCUGGCGGAAUGCUUUACACAUGCAAGUCGAGCGGCAGCGCGGGGCAACCUGGCGGCGAGCGGCGAACGGGUGAGUAAUGCAUCGGAACGUACCCAGUCGUGGGGGAUAACUGUCCGAAAGGACAGCUAAUACCGCAUACGUCCUGAGGGAGAAAGCGGGGGAUCGCAAGACCUCGCGCGAUUGGAGCGGCCGAUGCCGGAUUAGCUAGUUGGUAGGGUAAAGGCCUACCAAGGCGACGAUCCGUAGCUGGUCUGAGAGGACGACCAGCCACACUGGAACUGAGACACGGUCCAGACUCCACGGGAGGCAGCAGUGGGGAAUUUUGGACAAUGGGGGCAACCCUGAUCCAGCCAUUCCGCGUGAGUGAAGAAGGCCUCGGUUGUAAGACGUCUUCGGUCAGGAACGAACGGUAGAGGGCGUAAGUACCUUUA